Molecule: ribosomal RNA, 630 nt
Filed under: uncultured bacterium
Lineage: Bacteria
Description: bacterial SSU rRNA
Rfam family: Bacterial small subunit ribosomal RNA
Source: RNAcentral
GGGUGCGUAACGCGUAUGUAACCUACCUAUAACAGGGGCAUAACACUGAGAAAUUGGUACUAAUUCCCCAUAAUAUUCGGAGAGGCAUCUCUCCGGGUUGAAAACUCCGGUGGUUAUAGAUGGACAUGCGUUGUAUUAGCUAGUUGGUGAGGUAACGGCUCACCAAGGCAACGAUACAUAGGGGGACUGAGAGGUUAACCCCCCACACUGGUACUGAGACACGGACCAGACUCCUACGGGAGGCAGCAGUGAGGAAUAUUGGUCAAUGGACGCAAGUCUGAACCAGCCAUGCCGCGUGCAGGAAGACGGCUCUAUGAGUUGUAAACUGCUUUUGUACGAGGGUAAACUCACCUACGUGUAGGUGACUGAAAGUAUCGUACGAAUAAGGAUCGGCUAACUCCGUGCCAGCAGCCGCGGUAAUACGGAGGAUUCAAGCGUUAUCCGGAUUUAUUGGGUUUAAAGGGUGCGUAGGCGGUUUGAUAAGUUAGAGGUGAAAUCCCGGGGCUUAACUCCGGAACUGCCUCUAAUACUGUUAGACUAGAGAGUAGUUGCGGUAGGCGGAAUGUAUGGUGUAGCGGUGAAAUGCUUAGAGAUCAUACAGAACACCGAUUGCGAAGGCAGCUUACCAAA